This 468-nucleotide ribosomal RNA is filed under the name uncultured bacterium. RNAcentral's name for it is "partial 16S ribosomal RNA". It matches the Rfam family "Bacterial small subunit ribosomal RNA", at positions 28 to 507 of the family's 1533-position model. The record is from RNAcentral.
GACGAACGCUGGCGGCGUGCUUAACACAUGCAAGUCGAACGGAAAGGCCCUUCUUUUUUUGGUUGCUCGAGUGGCGAACCGAUGAGUAACACGUGAGUAACCUACCCUUGACUUUUGUUUAACUUCAGGAAACUGGGGCUAAUACCGUAUAGGAUCUCCUGCUUCAUGGUGGUGGUUGGAAAGUUUCGGCGGUUGGGGAUGGGAUCGCGGCUUAUCAGCGUGUUGGUGGGGUAGUUGCUUACCAAGGCUUUGACGGGUAGCCGGCCUGAGAGGGUGACCGGCCACAGUGGGACUGAGAUACGGCCCAGACGCCUAGGGGAGGCAGCAGUGGGGAAUAGUGAAAAAUGGGCGGAAGGCGGAUGCAGCAACGCCGCGUGCGGGAUGAAGGCCUUCGGGUUGUAAACCGCGUUCGCCUGUGACGAAGCGGGAGUGACGGUAAUGGGUAAAGAAGCACCGGCUAACUACGUG